ACCUUAAUAGCAAAAUGGUAAUGCAGGGGACUUAAGAUCCCCCAUUAAAGGUUCAACUCUUUUUUAAGGUC
This 71-nucleotide transfer RNA is filed under the name Thyonella gemmata. RNAcentral's name for it is "tRNA-Leu". It matches the Rfam family "tRNA". From Rfam's summary of the family: Transfer RNA (tRNA) molecules are approximately 80 nucleotides in length. Their secondary structure includes four short double-helical elements and three loops (D, anti-codon, and T loops). Further hydrogen bonds mediate the characteristic L-shaped molecular structure. tRNAs have two regions of fundamental functional importance: the anti-codon, which is responsible for specific mRNA codon recognition, and the 3' end, to which the tRNAs corresponding amino acid is attached (by aminoacyl-tRNA synthetases). tRNAs cope with the degeneracy of the genetic code in two manners: having more than one tRNA (with a specific anti-codon) for a particular amino acid; and 'wobble' base-pairing, i.e. permitting non-standard base-pairing at the 3rd anti-codon position. The record is from RNAcentral. Lineage: Eukaryota; Metazoa; Echinodermata; Holothuroidea; Dendrochirotida; Cucumariidae.